GAGUGUUGGGUUAAGUCCCAUAACGAGCGCAACCCCUACCUUUAGUUGCCAUCAGGUAAUGCUGGGGACUCUAAAGGAACUGCCUACGCAAGUAGUGAGGAAGGCGGGGAUGACGUCAAAUCAGCACGGCCCUUACGUCCAGGGCUACACACGUGCUACAAUGGCCGAUACAGAGGGCAGCUACCUGGUGACAGGAUGCAAAUCUCCAAAGUCGGUCUCAGUUCGGAUCGGAGUCUGCAACCCGACUCCGUGAAGUUGGAUUCGCUAGUAAUCGCGCAUCAGCCAUGGCGCGGUGAAUACGUUCCCGGGCCUU
RNAcentral lists this ribosomal RNA (313 nucleotides) under uncultured Sphingobacteriales bacterium. RNAcentral's name for it is "bacterial SSU rRNA". It matches the Rfam family "Bacterial small subunit ribosomal RNA", at positions 1070 to 1382 of the family's 1533-position model. Lineage: Bacteria; Pseudomonadati; Bacteroidota; Sphingobacteriia; Sphingobacteriales. The record is from RNAcentral.